AAUACUUGUCGCUUUGAGUUUUUGUUUGUAACUUUUGACAUUCGUCUUAUUUAAAAAAUUAUGAAAUUAGUAUUUAUUUUGUUUGUGAUUUGAUUUAUUAUCAAAAGUACUUUAAGUAUGACUUAUCAUUUUCUAUAUUUGCAUUAAUUUUUCAAAUAAGACGAAUGGUCAAACGUUGCAAGGAAAAAGUCAAAGCGAUAACUAAU
Non-coding RNA from Oryza glaberrima (African rice), 206 nucleotides. The record is from Rfam. Lineage: Eukaryota; Viridiplantae; Streptophyta; Magnoliopsida; Poales; Poaceae.